UACGGAGGGUGCAAGCGUUGUCCGGAUUUAUUGGGUUUAAAGGGCGCGUAGGCGGCUAAUUAAGUCAGUGGUGAAAUCCUGGAGCUCAACUUCAGAACUGCCAUUGAUACUGGUUGACUUGAGUACAGACGAGGUUGGCGGAAUUGAUGGUGUAGCGGUGAAAUGCAUAGAUACCAUCAAGAACACCGAUUGCGAAGGCAGCUAACUAGGCUGUAACUGACGCUGAGGCACGAAAGUGUGGGGAUCAAACAGG
Molecule: ribosomal RNA, 253 nt
Filed under: uncultured bacterium
Lineage: Bacteria
Description: partial 16S ribosomal RNA
Rfam family: Bacterial small subunit ribosomal RNA
Source: RNAcentral